AGCUAUUUUUUUUUUUACUAGGAUGCCAGUUGCGCAAUCUCUGCAUUCACUAACCUCAUAUCACCUGCUUCUGUCAUGUUCUCCUGUUAGGGUAACUAGCCUGUACCUACAGAGUAAGGACUGGGGAACAUUGUGAACUUUCAUAGCUGUGCACUGGAGAGAGCUGGAGCACCUGUUGCAGCAUUUCCUCCAUUAAAGUCCUUCUGUGAUGUUGUUCGAUUUUCAUGGAAAUGCACGAUCCUUUUUGGAAACUACACAGAACAGCGGAUCAGAAAUGGUGUGUUUUCAAGAUGCCAAUUGACAUUUAAAUACUUGAAUAUUAUUUCAAUAUCAGUGUUUCUCACUAUCUCGGCUUCUAAAUGGCUCAGUCAUGAUUCUGGAGGGCAAGUCUAUAUUUUCUGGGCCAAGAAAUGCAAAACUCAGAAUUAUUCGAGAAUCAGCAUGAGGUGACAAACAAUAGUGCAUUAGACAAUUUAAGUGACAUAUUUCAAGGAGAGGAUGACCACACACUAAGCUUGAAUUAUUUUAUUGUAUUACCAAUGUUUUGACUGCACAGCAACUUUUGCAAGUGUCAAACAAAAGUCUUACAUAUACAUACAUCACCUGGUAGCAACCUGCAAUCAGUGACAUUAUCAACAGGCCUUUUCAUAGCAGACAUUAUCACUCGUCACAGCAGGAAAAGUGCAGGAGGAACCAAUGCUUUUAACGAUGGCUCUGUGUAACAGGGUCAACUGUACAGCAUAUGUAUUAUAAUUACACAAAAAUUGUAAAUAGUUAAAUCCUGACGUGCUACUCCUUCAGGGUCAACAGGUGGAACAUUUAAGGCUCAGUUCACUGUACCCCUACGUUCACUUUUGUGGGUGCCCCGCCGCCCCCCAAAUGAUGUCCCCCGCCUUUACCUCUCCCCUUUUGUUGUCAAACUUCAUGGGAGAGGUAGGUGACGUUGUGCACUCCUUUUUUGAAGUUUGUUUAUCAGUCUGGACUUAUUGUACAGUAUGGUAACACAAUUCUGUUAUUUAAUUUGUGUAGGAGUCUGAGUUAGCGUCACAAUUGACCGGAGGAUAUUUUCUUUUCAUUUACUUCUGUCAGGUACGUUUUCGGUAUUUUUGGUGUGUUUGCUGCAACAUGGCUGCCCUUUUGUUGUCUUACUUCAUGGGAGAGGAGCCUGACCACUGCUCACUUUCCUCGGGUCUCUGCCCUUAUGAAUUCUGAGCAUUCACAACCUGUCCGCCAAACACCCUCAGAUGUCUCCUGCCAGCACACCUGCCCCUUAUUUUUCCCCCAAUGAGUCGAUACCAGCCCCCUUUUCCCCAGUCCGUUGCCAGAUUGUCAAUGUUACUACAUGCCUUUGAGUUCCAGUUGCUUCUACCUGAACCUUUUCUUGUACGUGCUUGCAGCCAUUAUUAAUAUUACUACAGCUGUGCUUUUCCUGCAAUCACAUGUCAAAAUGAAUUCUGUGAAAAAGGCUUAUCCUCUAGUUAAAGGCCCUGCCACCUUAAUGUGACACAAAAUACUUCUUGUUAACUCCUAAAUUUAACCAUUUCUGCAUAAUGACCUUCCUUCGGUUGAUCCAACAGUGGUUUACUAAAUUAUAUUGUAACUUCACAAAUGCUAUGUACUUAGAUAGGCCAACUCACUGGUUCGGCAAAUUUACAGAUUGGCUUAGACUUGCAUUUUUUCCUACUAAUGGAAUUAUUUUUGACGGCCCAGCCCACCCACACAGGUGUUUUCAAUAUUCAGAGUAGCUGUUUAACUCUGCUCAGGUCUAAUUUGGAUGGAGCUAUGCUGGUAAUUACAUAAUGUCAGUUAACAACAGUACUAAUCUUGUAAUAGCUAAAUAAAAGCAGGACCAUUUGUCAAUUUCUUGUAACCAAUUUCUUGUGUAAAUUUGAGUUAAAAGGUCUUUACUAUAUUGUGCAAAAACACAUUGCAGCACCUUAAGAAGAUUGGGGGCCAUUGUAAGUUAAUACUUUAUGAGCUUUGAUAGCACCUGCUAGAUUGCAACUUUGUUACUGUAGUUUUACAAAAUGAUUUUAAAACCAGAGUUAACAUUUUACAUUUAGCACUGUGGUUCUACAUACUUUAGGCCUAUAACUUUGUUGUGAUAGCAUAAUUCAGUAUGUUAACUGCUUAAUUUCCAAAGGCUAUAUGGAUAUUUGUGGGACAAUUUACAUUUGUAGUAUUGUUGUGUUUUUAAGGUUUAAUGCCAUGUGUUCAAAUACACAACUGCAGUGCAAAAUAAAAAGAUUAACUUCCUAACAAUUUUGUUGUUCAAUGAAUUCAUUUUUAAAGCUACUACAUGGAAAGAAAGCUAAAAACUACUGAAGAAAAUCUAAUUGGACCAACUUGACUUUUUACCUGUCAUCCACUUAAAACUUGUGUUCAUAAUUAUGAUAAUUAGGUACACAAUACUUAAAAAUUCCUUUUAAAUAUUGUGGAAAAACUUGUUGGAAAAACUUAUUUUUUAUGAGUUAUCAACUUAAAAACUUGUGUUUAUGCUGCCAAUUAUUAAGUAUGUAGUAAUUAAAAAUAUCUUUGAUUGUAGAGGUAAAACUAAUUCCCCUAACUCAAUGUAGUUUGUUGGUUCAACAUAAAUUUAUCAGGAGUUGUCAUAACUCAAAAAGCUUGAUGCAAACUGUUAUGUUAAUUUUUUUGUUGAGCUAAAGCAUUUGUUUAGAGUGUACUUGUGUGCAUAUUAUGUCUAUUUUAUUUAUUUAUAUAUUUAUUGUAUUUAUUGUAUUUUUUGGGGAAAAUAGACAACUCUGUCCUCAAAUACACACAAUGUCGCAAACCACUUCUUUUCACCUGCCAGUACCAUGCCAGGAGAUUGAAUGUAUGUUCACACUGUCCCAUUAGAGUCCGACCUCCUAACAGGUGCCCGACCAGCUAGUUGAAAGUGACAGUACAAAAACAAGAUCUAGUAGUGUUUGA
This is a long non-coding RNA of Thunnus maccoyii (southern bluefin tuna), 2931 nucleotides long. RefSeq lists it as uncharacterized. NCBI's taxonomy places the organism in Eukaryota, Metazoa, Chordata, Actinopteri, Scombriformes, Scombridae. The transcript is spliced from 4 exons. The record is from RefSeq and is a predicted model, not a curated record.